RNAcentral lists this ribosomal RNA (434 nucleotides) under uncultured bacterium. Its description in RNAcentral is "partial 16S ribosomal RNA". It matches the Rfam family "Bacterial small subunit ribosomal RNA", at positions 29 to 507 of the family's 1533-position model. The record is from RNAcentral.
GCGAACGCUGGCGGCAGGCUUAACACAUGCAAGUCGCGCGGGCACUUUCGGGUGUCAGCGGCGGACGGGUGAGUAACGCGUGGGAACGUGCCCUCUGGUUCGGAAUAACUCAGGGAAACUUGAGCUAAUACCGGAUACGCCCUUUUGGGGAAAGGCUUGCUGCCGGAGGAUCGGCCCGCGUCUGAUUAGCUAGUUGGUGAGGUAACGGCUCACCAAGGCGACGAUCAGUAGCUGGUCUGAGAGGAUGAUCAGCCACACUGGGACUGAGACACGGCCCAGACUCCUACGGGAGGCAGCAGUGGGGAAUAUUGGACAAUGGGCGCAAGCCUGAUCCAGCCAUGCCGCGUGAGUGAUGAAGGCCUUAGGGUUGUAAAGCUCUUUUAUCCGGGACGAUAAUGACGGUACCGGAGGAAUAAGCCCCGGCUAACUUCGUG